Molecule: transfer RNA, 75 nt
Filed under: Chloroflexota bacterium
Lineage: Bacteria; Bacillati; Chloroflexota
Also listed under: 2 other names
Description: Chloroflexi bacterium tRNA-Pro
Rfam family: tRNA
About the family: Transfer RNA (tRNA) molecules are approximately 80 nucleotides in length. Their secondary structure includes four short double-helical elements and three loops (D, anti-codon, and T loops).
Source: RNAcentral
CGGGGUGUGGCGCAGCGGUAGCGCACCGGUUUUGGGAACCGGGGGUCGUCGGUUCGAUCCCGACCACCCCGACCA